Molecule: ribosomal RNA, 468 nt
Filed under: uncultured bacterium
Lineage: Bacteria
Description: partial 16S ribosomal RNA
Rfam family: Bacterial small subunit ribosomal RNA
Source: RNAcentral
GACGAACGCUGGCGGCGUGCUUAACACAUGCAAGUCGAACGGAAAGGCCCUGCUUUUGUGGGGUGCUCGAGUGGCGAACGGGUGAGUAACACGUGAGUAACCUGCCCUUGACUUUGGGAUAACUUCAGGAAACUGGGGCUAAUACCGGAUAGGAGCUCCUGCUGCAUGGUGGGGGUUGGAAAGUUUCGGCGGUUGGGGAUGGACUCGCGGCUUAUCAGCUUGUUGGUGGGGUAGUGGCUUACCAAGGCUUUGACGGGUAGCCGGCCUGAGAGGGUGACCGGCCCCAAUGGGACUGGGGAAAGGCCCAGACUCCUACGGGAGGCAGCAGUGGGGAAUAUUGCACAAUGGGCGGAAGCCUGAUGCAGCAACGCCGCGUGCGGGAUGACGGCCUUCGGGUUGUAAACCGCUUUCGCCUGUGACGAAGCGUGAGUGACGGUAAUGGGUAAAGAAGCACCGGCUAACUACGUG